CCCUUAGACGUUCUGGGCCGCACGCGCGCUACACUGACCAGUGCAACAAGCAUCCGUCCUUGGCCGACAGGCCCGGGCAAUCUUUGAACGCUGGUCGUGAUGGGGAUAGACUUUUGCAAUUUUUGGUCUUCAACGAGGAGUUCCUAGUAAACGCAAGUCAUCAACUUGCAUUGAUUACGUCCCUGCCCUUUGUACACACCGCCCGUCGCACCUACCGAUUGAAUGGUCCGGUGAAGCCUCCGGAUUGGCGCGCACCUCGGUGCCGCCGAGAAGUUGGCUAAACCUUACCAUUUAGAGGAAGGUGAANUCGUAACA
This 315-nucleotide ribosomal RNA is filed under the name uncultured eukaryote. RNAcentral describes it as "partial 18S ribosomal RNA". It matches the Rfam family "Eukaryotic small subunit ribosomal RNA", at positions 1470 to 1796 of the family's 1831-position model. The record is from RNAcentral.